CAUGUGUAAGCACAUAUACAUGAAAUUUACGAGCCCCGAAAAUAAGCCUAUAAGAGGGAUCAGUAACUCUUUCUGGGAUGGUAGUGCGUGACGCCUCUCGUGGAGUGAUUUGUCUGGUUAAUUUCGAUAACGAACUAGACUCAAAUAUAUUAAACAUAUGCUUUCAGGAUAUUGGAAGUGAAGCUUUUAUGGCCUUUACUUAUAAGCAUAGUAAAUCGUGUGAGCGAUUGAAAAGUCGUACCUCUUGGUUUGGGCAAAUUGUAUCUAUCAAUAAUGAGAUCGAGCAAUAAGAGUUCUUACAUGCCCUGGGCUGCACUCGCGCUACAAUGAAAGUCUCAUCGUGUAUUUCCUAGACCGCGUGGUCCGGCUAAACACCUGAACUACUUUAGUAGUUGGGAACUGUCUUGUGAACUGAAGUUGUUCAGGUGAAUUUGGGAUUUCGAGUAAGCAUGAGUCAUUAACAAGCGUU
This 469-nucleotide non-coding RNA is filed under the name Glossina palpalis gambiensis. RNAcentral describes it as "eukaryotic small subunit ribosomal RNA". It matches the Rfam family "Eukaryotic small subunit ribosomal RNA", at positions 1191 to 1642 of the family's 1831-position model. The record is from RNAcentral. Lineage: Eukaryota; Metazoa; Arthropoda; Insecta; Diptera; Glossinidae.